CGACUCUCAGCACCUCCCGUUACUUGGCGCCGGCGCUCCCGGGCCAUCUCCCUCCGCCGACACCACGCCUACUCCCGCCCGGGCAGCACGAACGGGGGAAGGGGCAAGAAGACGCAUCCGUCCGGCUCAGCCCCGCGGCGACUGCCUCCUCCGCCUUCUCUUCCUCCUCCCCCCACAGACUUUAUCAUGAUGUACUCCACAAGGAGUGCCCUCCUCCAGGUGACACCGGCCAACUCCUUUACAUAGACAUGUUCUAUGUGUAACUGGAGAAUAUAAAUUAAGGCCUCCCACGCACCCUAAGCAGAAGAGUUUCCCUUUCUGAGGCAACCUCUGUAAGGCUGGCGGCAGCCCCAAAAGCCCCCUCUUUCUUGCUGGCUGCACUCAAGACGCUGCUGGACAGAGACGCGCCCUAUGCCCUUGGCUCAUGCGGGGCCAAACCGCAAGCUGCAUCCGCACACGGUCCCUAGAACCGCUGCUGUCUACCAAGCCCCAGUUGCUGUGGUAGAAGGCCCCAAAAGCCCACCAAACGCCGCAGUGGAAAAUGCCACAGCCUGCUUAGAGGACUAUAAAAGCCCUCACCCCACUUCAAACCGGCACGACUUCUCUGGCCCCGUUCUGUGGCACCCGUGAAUCUCGCCCGGGAAUGCUCGAUAAACACAACGUUUGUUUGC
This is a non-coding RNA of Microcebus murinus (gray mouse lemur), 671 nucleotides long. NCBI's taxonomy places the organism in Eukaryota, Metazoa, Chordata, Mammalia, Primates, Cheirogaleidae. The record is from RefSeq and is a predicted model, not a curated record.